AUUGAACGCUGGCGGCAUGCCUUACACAUGCAAGUCGAACGGUAACAGGUCUUCGGAUGCUGACGAGUGGCGAACGGGUGAGUAAUACAUCGGAACGUGCCUAGUAGUGGGGGAUAACUACUCGAAAGAGUGGCUAAUACCGCAUGAGAUCUACGGAUGAAAGCAGGGGAUCGCAAGACCUUGUGCUACUAGAGCGGCCGAUGGCAGAUUAGGUAGUUGGUGGGAUAAAAGCUUACCAAGCCGACGAUCUGUAGCUGGUCUGAGAGGACGACCAGCCACACUGGGACUGAGACACGGCCCAGACUCAUACGGGAGGCAGCGGUGGGGAAUUUUGGACAAUGGGCGAAAGCCUGAUCCAGCAAUGCCGCGUGCAGGAUGAAGGCCUUCGGGUUGUAAACUGCUUUUGUACGGAACGAAAAGCCCCGGGUUAAUACCCUGGGGUCAUGACGGUACCGUAAGAAUAAGCACCGGCUAACUACGUGCCAGCCGCCGCGGUAA
This 498-nucleotide ribosomal RNA is filed under the name uncultured bacterium. Its description in RNAcentral is "partial 16S ribosomal RNA". It matches the Rfam family "Bacterial small subunit ribosomal RNA", at positions 30 to 523 of the family's 1533-position model. The record is from RNAcentral.